Molecule: non-coding RNA, 160 nt
Organism: Drosophila suzukii
Lineage: Eukaryota; Metazoa; Arthropoda; Insecta; Diptera; Drosophilidae
Source: RefSeq, a predicted model, not a curated record
UCUCCUGUCCUCAAUAGAUGACUUCCAGCGGAGUAGGCGACGUCAACAUACCCAGCUGGGCAUCCUCAGACAAAUUUAUAGCAGUUUAACAGAACAGCAAGUUACAGUGUCCAAGAAAUACCAACGAUUUGCAAAAUAGAAUAAACACCGCAAAAUGUUA